GGAAUAUUGCACAAUGGGCGAAAGCCUGAUGCAGCGACGCCGCGUGAGGGAUGAAGGCCUUCGGGUUGUAAACCUCUUUCAGUAGGGAAGAAGCGAAAGUGACGGUACCUGCAGAAGAAGCGCCGGCUAACUACGUGCCAGCAGCCGCGGUAAUACGUAGGGCGCAAGCGUUGUCCGGAAUUAUUGGGCGUAAAGAGCUCGUAGGCGGUUUGUCGCGUCUGGUGUGAAAACUCAAGGCUCAACCUUGAGCUUGCAUCGGGUACGGGCAGACUAGAGUGUGGUAGGGGUGACUGGAAUUCCUGGUGUAGCGGUGGAAUGCGCAGAUAUCAGGAGGAACACCGAUGGCGAAGGCAGGUCACUGGGCCACUACUGACGCUGAGGAGCGAAAGCAUGGGGAGCGAACAGGAUUAGAUACCCGAG
RNAcentral lists this ribosomal RNA (420 nucleotides) under uncultured Sanguibacter sp. RNAcentral describes it as "bacterial SSU rRNA". It matches the Rfam family "Bacterial small subunit ribosomal RNA", at positions 358 to 790 of the family's 1533-position model. Lineage: Bacteria; Bacillati; Actinomycetota; Actinomycetes; Micrococcales; Sanguibacteraceae. The record is from RNAcentral.